GUUUUUAAUUAAAAACGACAUAAAGACGGAAGACGUUCCCUCGUCGAAUAAUUUCUGGCAUUUGUGACAGGGAUGUAGAUAAAUUUAAAGGUGGAAACAUUGGACAUUAAGUGUUUAUGGGAAGCAGUUAUCAACAAUCAGCACGUCCUUCUAAAAUCUACUGGAGAACCCUCCCUAAGUGAAUUUAAUUGUAUUGUUUUCAAAACAAGGAUAACAUGGCGUCAGUAACGUAGUCAGCAGAGCACAAAUGGGGGCUAAGACAGUCUUCUUCUUCAGUCCGUGCAAGAGGCUACUAAAGUGAUGCAGAGAUGAUGAUGCGAUCACACGAAAAUGUCCUUAUCCCCUUUUUACAUAUGUACUGUAGGAAACUUUAUUUUCAUGUAUACAGGGCCGGAAAAUCCACAUGGUCCAUCUGCCUUUACAU
Molecule: long non-coding RNA, 424 nt
Organism: Anoplophora glabripennis (Asian longhorned beetle)
Lineage: Eukaryota; Metazoa; Arthropoda; Insecta; Coleoptera; Cerambycidae
Exons: 3
Source: RefSeq, a predicted model, not a curated record